RNAcentral lists this ribosomal RNA (494 nucleotides) under uncultured bacterium. RNAcentral's name for it is "partial 16S ribosomal RNA". It matches the Rfam family "Bacterial small subunit ribosomal RNA", at positions 28 to 504 of the family's 1533-position model. The record is from RNAcentral.
GACGAACGCUGGCGGCGUGCCUAAUACAUGCAAGUUGAGCGCUGAAGGUUGGUACUUGUACCAACUGGAUGAGCAGCGAACGGGUGAGUAACGCGUGGGGAAUCUGCCUUUGAGCGGGGGACAACAUUUGGAAACGAAUGCUAAUACCGCAUAAAAACUUUAAACACAAGUUUUAAGUUUGAAAGAUGCAAUUGCAUCACUCAAAGAUGAUCCCGCGUUGUAUUAGCUAGUUGGUGAGGUAAAGGCUCACCAAGGCGAUGAUACAUAGCCGACCUGAGAGGGUGAUCGGCCACAUUGGGACUGAGACACGGCCCAAACUCCUACGGGAGGCAGCAGUAGGGAAUCUUCGGCAAUGGACGAAAGUCUGACCGAGCAACGCCGCGUGAGUGAAGAAGGUUUUCGGAUCGUAAAACUCUGUUGGUAGAGAAGAACGUUGGUGAGAGUGGAAAGCUCAUCAAGUGACGGUAACUACCCAGAGAGGGACGGCUAACUAC